RNAcentral lists this ribosomal RNA (253 nucleotides) under uncultured bacterium. Its description in RNAcentral is "partial 16S ribosomal RNA". It matches the Rfam family "Bacterial small subunit ribosomal RNA", at positions 524 to 776 of the family's 1533-position model. The record is from RNAcentral.
GACGGGGGAUGCAAGUGUUAUCCGGAAUCACUGGGCGUAAAGCGUCUGUAGGUGGUUAAAUAAGUCAACUGUUAAAUCUUGAGGCUCAACCUCAAAAUCGCAGUCGAAACUGUUUGACUAGAGUAUAGUAGGGGUAAAGGGAAUUUCCAGUGGAGCGGUGAAAUGCGUAGAGAUUGGAAAGAACACCGAUGGCGAAGGCACUUUACUGGGCUAUUACUAACACUGAGAGACGAAAGCUAGGGUAGCAAAUGGG